GCGGCGCGUCGGCGGGGCCGGGGUGCCCUCCGCGUCCGGGGCGUUGCUCGGGGCGUCGUCCCGGGCGUCGUCGGUCGCCCCGCCGGCGCCGUCC
RNAcentral lists this transfer RNA (94 nucleotides) under Cellulomonas pakistanensis. RNAcentral describes it as "tRNA-Arg". The record is from RNAcentral. Lineage: Bacteria; Bacillati; Actinomycetota; Actinomycetes; Micrococcales; Cellulomonadaceae.